UACGGAGGGUGCAAGCGUUAUCCGGAUUCACUGGGUUUAAAGGGUGUGUAGGCGGGUUAUUAAGUCAGGGGCGAAAUCCUGGAGCUCAACUCCAGAACUGCCUUUGAUACUGCUAAACUUGAAUUAUUGUGAAGUAACUAGAAUAUGUAGUGUAGCGGUGAAAUGCUUAGAGAUUACAUGGAAUACCAAUUGCGAAGGCAGGUUACUAACAAUAUAUUGACGCUGAUGGACGAAAGCGUGGGUAGCGAACAGG
RNAcentral lists this ribosomal RNA (253 nucleotides) under uncultured bacterium. RNAcentral describes it as "partial 16S ribosomal RNA". It matches the Rfam family "Bacterial small subunit ribosomal RNA", at positions 524 to 776 of the family's 1533-position model. The record is from RNAcentral.